UGGGGAAUUUUGGACAAUGGGCGAAAGCCUGAUCCAGCCAUGCCGCGUGAGUGAAGAAGGCCUUCGGGUUGUAAAGCUCUUUUAGUCGGAAAGAAAGAGUUGCAAUGAAUAGUUGUGAUUUAUGACGGUACCGACAGAAAAAGCACCGGCUAACUACGUGCCAGCAGCCGCGGUAAUACGUAGGGUGCGAGCGUUAAUCGGAAUUACUGGGCGUAAAGGGUGCGCAGGCGGUCUUGCAAGUCAGAUGUGAAAGCCCCGGGCUUAACCUGGGAAUUGCGUUUGAAACUACAAGACUAGAGUGCAGCAGAGGGGAGGGGAAUUCCAUGUGUAGCAGUGAAAUGCGUAGAGAUGUGGAAGAACACCGAUGGCGAAGGCAGCUCCCUGGGUUGACACUGACGCUCAUGCACGAAAGCGUGGGGAGCAAACA
RNAcentral lists this ribosomal RNA (427 nucleotides) under uncultured bacterium. RNAcentral's name for it is "bacterial SSU rRNA". It matches the Rfam family "Bacterial small subunit ribosomal RNA", at positions 355 to 774 of the family's 1533-position model. The record is from RNAcentral.